AAACGGGUGGCGUCAAGCUGCACACCUGGAGAAUUCAGUCGGCUAGGAUGUUGUGUAUGCGCUUGCGCAUCUAUCAGUCAGUGUAAGAUUGGACGGUCUACUGGAAGACAGUGGGCCCCGCCGCAAGGUGGGGAUGUGUGUACCGGGCGGAAGCCGGAGCACGCCGUUCGUCUGUUGGACUGUCUAGCCGGUGCACUUUCUCUGUGGUGGACACCACGACCAGUGGGACUGCCAGUCUGCUAUGGUCGAGUCGUAUUCGGUGCGUCCUUGUGGCAAACUGGGUGCGAUCACGGGCAAAUUCGGUGUACGGCGUGGGCUUGUCCUCGGAUGGGUUCACGUGUUAUCGGCCACCGGUUGUCUUAACGGGCCUGCCUAGCGAUUGUUAUAACCGUCGUUGGGUGGUCUGGUGGGCUAUAGCGGUAAGAAUAACUGUGCAGGGCACUGGAGUUUUCGGCCUCAAAUGCAGUCUACAUGCAUGUUAUAAGUGUGUGCGCGUGUGCGCGUGUCUGGGUGUCGUGUGUCAGCCUGCCUAUUGCCGGGUCUGACUGUCGUGUUGCCUGCGAAAAGUGGGUCCGACAGUGGCUUGGUGUAGGUUGGAGUUGGCCGCGGUGCCUGUUGUGUAGAUUGUGGUGGGCCAGAUAGUCAGUGGUGUAGUGGUAGACGAGCUACCCGACCCGUCUUGAAACACGGACCAAGGAGUUCAACAUGUAUGCAAGUCAAAGGGUCCUACGAAACCCCAAGGCGCAGUGAAAGUGAAGCUGCGGCGCCCUCGUGGUGUCCGUAGUGAGGUGAGAUUCUGUCGUUACUCGCAUCACCUGCCAGCAGCAGGCAUCAAGAGCGGCAGACGCAUCACCGGCCCGUCCCAUGGUGUGGUCAUUGGAUAAGGCUGCAGGUGGCCUCCGCCUGUCAGUACUGCCAGUGCGUCAUCGGGGCGGAGCAUGAGCAUACACGUUGAGACCCGAAAGAUGGUGAACUAU
This 977-nucleotide ribosomal RNA is filed under the name Anthocephalum hobergi. RNAcentral describes it as "partial 28S ribosomal RNA". The stretch from base 526 to 977 matches the Rfam family "Eukaryotic large subunit ribosomal RNA", at positions 1 to 834 of the family's 3401-position model. Lineage: Eukaryota; Metazoa; Platyhelminthes; Cestoda; Rhinebothriidea; Anthocephaliidae. The record is from RNAcentral.